CCUACGGGCGGCAGCAGUAGGGAAUCUUUCACAAUGGGCGACAGCCUGAUGGAGCAACGCCGCGUGCAGGAUGACGGCCCUCGGGUUGUAAACUGCUUUUAUAAGCGAGAAAUAUGAUGGUAACUUAUGAAUAAGGAUCGGCUAACUACGUGCCGGCAGCCGCGGUCAUACGUAGGAUCCGAGCAUAAUCCGGAGUAACUGGUGGUAAAGAGUGUCGUAGGUGGCAUAAUAAGUAGCUAGUGAAAUCUGGUGGCUCAACCAUUCAGACUAUUAGCUAAACUGUUAAGCUCGAGACCGUUAGGGGUAACUGGAAUUUCUAGUGUAGGAGUGAAAUCCGUAGAUAUUAGAAGGAACACCAAUAGCGUAGGCAGGUUGCUGGGACGGUUCUGACACUAAGGCACGAAAGCGUAGGUAGCAAACGGGAUUAGAUACCCCUGUAGUC
RNAcentral lists this ribosomal RNA (442 nucleotides) under uncultured bacterium. RNAcentral's name for it is "partial 16S ribosomal RNA". It matches the Rfam family "Bacterial small subunit ribosomal RNA", at positions 338 to 795 of the family's 1533-position model. The record is from RNAcentral.